ACCGCUGCAAGGAUGGAUGACCCCUUUUUUGCAACCAAGCUCUGCUGAAAAGAUGAGGGGGAAAUGGUAUUUGUUUCUGCUGCAUCGUUGGAAGAUUUGAUCCAAAAUUUGUCAGGUGUUGAAUCUUAAUCAUCUAGAGUUUGAUAAGGUGAGAAAGAUCCCAGAAUUUAUUUUGCUGAAGGCGUUUUGUUCAAAAAUUUCUCCAUGGUAUUUUGGACGACGUCAACAAUUAAUCAGAAGAAGAUUCUUGCAUUUGAUUGAAUAAAUUUAUUUUGGAGACUAUUACCAGUCAAAAUGUGUGGUGUGGUCCUUCAGGUUCAGGGCAUUAGGUUGUGCGUAAUUCAUGUAUGUUGCCUGCAUGUGUGGCCGAGCUGGUACAGGAGACAGUUACACUAUUCGUACCACCUGAUCGCAUUAUCAAGCUCACAUUACGGUACUGUUCAGUGACCAUCACCUACAUGAUUUGGUUCCUGACUGACAGGCUGAUCGCAGACCAAGCUCGAGUGGAAGAAGGGGACCAAGGUCACGUUCGAGGGCAUGGGUUCGGUUUUCAUCUUCUCAUUAGACGAAAUCAGCAUAUGCACCUAUGGCCUUAAUUACCUAUUUUACCAUUAUUUCUUCCACCCUUCUUUAUUUGUAGAAAUCCAGGAAGGGCGAUUUCAUGUCACAUAUGAACAUCCCUGUACUUAAUAAAAUCAGAUUAUCAUGUAUAUCAUGAAGAUUCAUCUAUAUUCAUCUCCCGUGGACGGUUAAACAUUGUGAAGUUUAUAUUGUGAGAUAUAAUAGUUUAAGGAUUUUUCUAUACAUGGUUGGUUUUCGAAAUACUAAGCAUGUUUAAAUAGCUUUGAGAGGUAUGCUAUUGUGAACUCUGAAGCCCUCUUAAUGUAUUCUUUUUAUUGGAAGAAUUAUGCUAUUUACUUUUGUUAAGCAUGUUUCCCAUUCUAUUCCAUUUCAUAAAAUACUUCUUAAUUUGACUUGAUAUAUAUGUUCUUUCAGGAGGGAGGGAGCUUUAGAUGUUAUGUCUUCACAAUGUUAGCUGCACCUGCAUGGCCAUAGAGUAUUAGUAUCUCAGUUCAUUGUCUUCUGAUAAUGAUGCUUGCAAAUAAUCUGCAAUCUCCAUUGCUGAUAGUAGGAUUUGUAACUAGGUAUAAGUGAGCUACUAAAAUGAUAUAGUUUUUACUUUGAUGGUGUCUUGAGUCACCAAUUGCAAAGAUUUGUAUGACCAAAUGAUAUAGUUUUAUGUUGUAUUUGUUUUGCAACCUACAGAUUGUGUUUGUCCUUUCAAGUUAUGUUUCCAUGCUAAAUCCAGUAAAGGGCUAUAGUUUCUCUUCUGGUAUUCAUGUUAUCAAGAUAUUUGGCUUAUCUGAGUCCAAGCAAAAGGAAAUUGAUUUGCCAAGUUCUUUCUCGAUUAAGUUGUUCUACUAUUGAGCCAAAACCAGGUAAGCAAGAAAUAGUUUAGUGCCAGUGGUUUUAUGUAUGGAUUUGGUUUACAUAUAUUUCAGGGGGAAAUUGCACAACAAGAAACUCCGUUUGAUCAUUAUAAAGCAACUAUUUUUUUGACCUUUGUAAACAACUAAGUUUGUUGAUCGUCCAGGAGCUAUACUUUAGUUUUGAUUGCACAAGAUAGCAACGUACUCAAUAUUGUCAAAAUAAUCUCAUCUGCACUUCAUGCAAUCUCUUAAAAAUUAUUAACCAAACAUCCCGCAGCAACGAGCGGGGUUUUAUCUAGUAUCAUAAGACUACAAACACAACCGACAACAUACAUAAUAGGCACAAAAUUGCUAUUCUCAUUAGAUCUUCAAAGUUUAAGCCUGCUUGAGAAUCACAGCGGUCGAGUAAGGUGGGAUGAUGUGGGUAGAGAAACUUUAGCGUUUGUUGUAACGUGGCCAAUUGGUAACGUGGGUGACACAUUUUUCAUCCUUUGCACGUAGCAACGCGCCGGCAUUGUCCCAGUAAUGCUAGCAUCCGGGACGUUUUGGCUUCUGGCAUCGACGGCUCUCGCCGGCGUUGGAUCCCAGCCGGCGGAGCGCCAUUGAAUAAUCACAGUGUGAUGUAGGCGUGGGAACGCCAAAGACUUGACCAGGUUAUUUUUUGACUCAAGACUGCAGGACUAAAUUGUUUUUCAAGUACAAACAAAUCUUGCAAAUUUUGCCAUUUGUUUGUGCGACCAACGACGCAAUUUUAUUUGUACUAUUUAGUCCUGCAGUCUUGAGUCAUUGAUCGUGGUGUGUUAGCAAUCGAUAUUAUUAUCGACCCACCAAGGAAAGCAGAGCGUGCUCCAAACCGUCGACCAACCGAUCGGCAUGGCUGCUGGGGGCGGCGAGCCGGCGCUGCGGUCCAAGAGCGUGUGCGUGGUGGGGGGCGGCGUGGCCGGCCUGGCGGCGGCGCGCGAGCUGCGGCGGGAGGGUCACGCCGUCACGGUUAUGGAGCAGAGCGCCGACGUGGGCGGGCAGUGGCUGUAUGACCCCAGGACCGACGGCGAGGACCCGCUUGGCGCCGCGGCGCCGGUGCGCGUGCCCAGCAGCAUCUAUGCUUGCCUCCGCCUCAUCAGUCCGCGCGAGGCCAUGGGCUUCUCCGACAUCCAGUUCUUCCCCAGGGACGGCCCUGGCCGCGACUCGCGCCGCUUCCCAGUCCACGGCGAGCUGCACUGCUACCUCCGGGACUUCUGCGACGCCUUCGGCCUCAUGGACGCCGUCAGGCUCAACACCCGGGUCCUACUCGUCGCCCCGGCACCGACGUCGACGACGACGAUGCGUCAGUGGACGGUGAGGUCCGCGCGGCUCCUCGGCACCACCGAGGAUGAUGAUGUUGCGCAGGAGGAGGAGCAGGAGGAGGUGUUCGAUGCCGUGGUGGUGGCCACAGGCCACUACUCGCAGCCGAUGCUCCCGAGCGACAUCGAGGGCAUGGGGGAGUGGACGCGCCGGCAGCUGCACAGCCACUCGUACCGGACGCCGGAGCCGUUCCGCGGCGAGGCGUUGGUGGUGGUCGGCUGCGCGGAGAGCGGCAAGGACAUCGCGCUGGACCUCUGCCGCCAUGCCGCGUCGCCAGGGAGGUGCACCUUGCCGCGAGCUACGAGGCCACGGCCGCCACGCCGGCCAUGUCGAGGAUGCUGGCCAACCACGGCGACGUGCUGCGCCUGCACACGCGGAUCCACCGUCUUCACGCCGACGGGCGCGUGGAGUUCGCGGACGGCUCCUCCGUCGUGGCCGACACGGUCAUCUACUGCACGGGGUACACCUACUCGUUCCCGUUCCUGGACAUGGGCGGCGCGGUCACCAUCGAUACCGACGGCCACGUCGUCGGCCCGCUGUUCGAGCACGUGUUCCCGCCGUCCCUCGCGCCGUCGCUGUCCUUCGUGGGCGUGGCGAGGAAGGUCCUCAUCCCGUGGUUCUUCGAGGCGCAGGCGCGGUGGGUGGCGCAGGUGCUGUCCGGCCGCCGCGCGCUGCCGUCGGAGGAGGAGAUGCUGCGGUCCGUGGAGGAGCACCUCCGCGCGAGGGAGGCAGCCGGCGUGGCGAGGAAGCACACCCACAACAUCGCCGGCAUCGAGCCUGAGAAGAUGUACGAGUUCGGGGAGAGGUACUCCGACUUGCCGCCGCUGGAGGAGUGGAAGAAGGAGCUGGUCAUGUCCAGCCUCGCCAGUAUGUUGGCCGACGUGGAGACCUUCCGCGACCGUGCCUACGACGACAGCGAGAUCGUGCGGAAGGGCCUGCGGGGAUGGCUCGACUUGGCUGCUCAAGCUCAAGCAAAAUCUAUGGCUGUUGCCGUUGACGUUGAAGCUGAUGUGCAGGCCAUGGCUAAUUAAGCUGUCCUUCUCAGCGGAAUUACGAGUAGACCGCGUGACAUGUAAGAGGUUUUUAUUUUUAUUUAUUUUUGCAGGAAAGAUUCAAUCUCAUUCCCUUCGAGUUUCAAUUAAUAAUUGCCUCAUGAGCAAAAAAGUUUGGUUACAAAAAAAGACUGUGUCAUUGAAUUCAAGUAUGAUUGUCGAAACGUAGAAAUAGAAAAAAAAACAUCGAAUUCUCAUAGACCCACUUAUAGAAGCACUUGAGCAUGGUUUCGGCCUAUAACCAGAGGGAAUGUUUUUCAAAACCGACCUGAUUUUGGGCAUUCAUAGAGGGAAACGACAGUCAUGCGAUAAGCGAGGUAGAGGUUCGUCUAUCCAGAGUAGCCAUUCAAGGAGACAAGUACUACCAUUGUACAUUACAUCAUCCACCAUCCACCUUACAACUGAGGCCGGUGGUUCCUCAACCGACAACGAGGGUGAUGUUGAGACCGCCAGCCUAGCUAGCUCAUGAGAGACACAGUUUGCCUCCUAGGACAAUGGGCGAAAGACACUGAAGUAUAACCUACCGAUAAGAUAUUGCAGUCUGCAUAAAUUGUCGCUGCUCCUGUCACAAUGAAGCCGCCCACAUUCAUCGUGUUGAUCACCUCCAAGUAAUCUGCUUCCACCACCAGCUUGCUUACUCCCAUCUGUUGAGCCAGAAGAAUCCUGUGUUGCACUGCAUAUGCCUCUGCUGAAGUUGCGUCCGAAACAUGCUCAAGUUUUUCAUUGGAUGCUGCUAUGAAUCCUCCUUUGUCAUCCUGCAGCACAUCCCCGGCCGCUCCUUUAAGAGUUUGUACAUAAAAUGUUGUGUCAACAUUAAGCUUAACAUGCCCCUCCUUUGGCUUAGUCCAUCCUUCUUUCUUCACACCCGCAUCAUUCUUCCUCGCCUUGACAUAGUUCGCUGUUAGAGUUGAGAUCGACAAGGCCGAAUGAGCAGGCUUUUGCACAUAUUCUCCAUGGACUUGUUGCCUUCUUUCCCACCACACAUAUAACAAAUGCCCACGAGGAUUAAGACCUAUGCACUCACAUCCGGAAGCAAACGUUCUCUCAUUGGCGCACACAAAAUAUAGUCCAGCAACAAUGAACCGGCUCGGUCCACUUCGCAUGCCUCCUCCACAAAACCAUCCAAAUUUAGACACCUCCAGAUCUCUAUUGCUCUUGCACAAGUAAACGGCACAUGAUUGAUAUCCUCACAUCCUCCUGCACACAUUGGACAGUUCCUGGGCAUAGCAAUAUGUCGGUUUGCCAAGAUUCCGAAGCAUGGUAUAAAACCAUGCAGCACUUUCCAUGCAUGUAUUUUUAUUUUAGCCGGCAGUGAAUUAUCCUACCACUUCAUCAAAUACUGGAUAUUGUUGUAACGGUUCUCCUACAAUUCUCUCAAAAUAGCGCCCGAAUUGAUGAUCCCACUCUGCAUAAUACGCCGAUCUGACCGUGAACAUGUUAUUCCUUGUGAACCUCCAUGCCAAAAAAUCCUCCAUCAUUCCUUGCGGCGCAAACGGAAUAGAUAAGAUUCUCUCCGCUUCUACCUGCCAAAACAUGUCAUUGAUAAUUAAGAUCUUGAUCCCAUACUCCUGUUGGCGGAUCAAUAAGGUCUCACACUUUUGAAAGCAGGUUUGCUCCUCUCGGGGUAACUAUGCAUCCGUUUGCACUCGUGGCAAUCCAUGGAUCAGACCAAAUAUUAACUUGUGAGCCAUCCUCGAUCCUCCAAAUUGCCCCCAACAUGUGCGCAUAGUGAGUCGGGAUUUUCCAUAAGUCUGCAUACCUGCUUGGCCAGCGAGGCGAGAUUAAAACUAUGCAAAUCUCGGAAUCCCAACCCCCCCCCCCUUUGUUCUUCGGAAUACAAAGUUUCCACCAUGUUGCCCAAUGUGUCCUCUUCUCCUAUGAUUGUCAUCAUCACCCCACCAGUAUCUUGAUAUGGCGUCUGGCAUACCACCACUUUCUCUUCCACUUCCAAGUUUGAGCUGAAGUACACCCAGGUUCUGAGAAGCUCCUUUAUUGCUAUAAUUCUUGUUGAACCUUUUCUAAAGUCAACAAUUUCUGCAAUCAGGGAGAAGGCUUGCUAUACCUUAAAUUCCAAAACCACGACAAUUAUUGUGCGGCUAUCAUUUAUCUUUCUGUUGUAUGGUAUAACAUACAAAUGGUGUCAAGAUUAUAUCCUGAUAGGGUGUUCAACUAUGUUGGUAGAUGGAUGCAUGUUCUUGCUGUUAAAUUAAGGGCUCAAUUAUUGGUUGAUAUAUCGGCGCUGUGUUGGUCAUCAUUGCGUUUAUGUAGAAAAUGAUAUGGUCUUGUACGAGAGGAAUAUAUCUCCUCCAUCGUAGGUUGUAUUCUUAUGUACUUAUUAGCUAUGUACCAGUCUAUUGUUUUACCGUGUGGUCGGUGUAUGCGCAACUUAAGCAGGUGGACACAUAUGUGUGUACAUAGAGUGGACUGAGGUCUAGGCAUCAGAAGAAGUGCUUCUCCAUCCUAGUGUUUUUUUUCUUCUUCUCUCUUGCCCCGAACUGUUUUUUUAGUGAUCUUCAGGUAAUAUUUGUGUGCAUUCUCAAAACUAUAUGUUGGCCAUUAAACCCAUAUAUCAUUGUUAAAAAGCUUUUCAUUUUUCAGAAGUCUUACCUUGGUUUUUAUUAACAGCUGGGGAGUGGCCCAGCAAAAUGGGUUGUCUGGCCUUUUUCUGUUCGUGCUGGAGUGGGUCUUUAUCGAAAGAUUCGGUUCGGUAGAACCUCCCUCUCCGAGUCAAUGCAUCGUUCGGUCUAGGGCUCCUCCAGAUCGAACAUUCGGUACAUCUCGGUGUCCUAAUUUAAAGUUGCAACAAGAAUGUAGUACACGCACCUACUCUUAGUAUGUACUCUGAAGUAAGAGCUCCUUUACGGUGAUUGGGGCAGUACUGGGAGUACUUUCGAGUACUUACCCCUCCAAAUUUUAUUAGUCGUCCGAUCUGGCGGGGGAUUAAAAAUGAAUUAACCUAAUUAUUUUAAUCAGAGAAGGGCAUAAUGGUCCAGGGUAAAAUAUUCUGUUUUCAACCGAUCACGUCCACGACGUCUAGAUCCAGUCCUCGUUCUCGUCCUCUUCCUUCUGUCCGACGAGCCCGGCGAGAGGUACCAACAACGUCGUCGGCGUCGUCCUCGUCCUCCACCUCGUCCCCUUCACUGUAAACGACGUGCCCGGCGGCAGGAAGAAGAUUAAGGCGUGACAUCUGCGGCGGUAGUGUCAGCGGUGGCGGUGGCGGCGCUAUAGGAACUCGCCCCCGCCGAUCACAUCGCUUUCGGGCUUGCAUACUAAGGUAUGAAUCGCCCGAAUCUCAACUCCUCCCCGUUUGAUUGGCCCGUUGGAAGUGACUCUUGGCAGGAACUCCAACUUCCUCGUAGAUGGAUCUAUACUCUGCGGUUGGCCCCUCGGUUAGGCCGCCGGGAGAUAUCAAUUCUUGUUCUGAAAGUAGGCUUGUUUUUCUUGAUGCAGUAGGAGAUAUCAAUGCCUGCGGGAGAUAUCGCCAUAAACUUACUUUGUUUCGUAGCCUGCACUUCCUACUUAGAUUUGUUUAGUCAUCAUCGAUUUAGGUUCCCCUAGUGCAUGCAAUUCAAUUUAGAAUUUUUCAUCAUCCAUGUUUAUGGGGGACCCACUUUAUGGACAUUUAUGAUCGCUUGCCAUAACAUGUACAAGGAGCAAAGUUUAAAAUUCCACGCAAGCUUUCGUACUGGGUUUUGCAUGCAUUUAUGUUUGUCCUUUCAGAUUUUUAUUCGUCUGAAUUAUGAUGCAGGAAGACAUGGCGGAUGUAAGUCAUGAGUCAAUGAUGGAUUACUAUCAUAUUGCCAACAAGAUGUUUAAUAGUGAGGAUGAAGGUUAUACAUUCUAUAACAAAUAUGGUCUUGAGAAAGGUUUUAGUGUCCGGAGAAGCUAUGUCGAGUGGGAUGGAUCCAAUUGCCAUAUAAUUUUAAGGAAAUUUGUGUGUAGUCGUGAAGGGGUUCGUGAAGAGAAGCACAUGAAGAGGAAGAUGGAAGAUAGAAAGAGGAGGCCACAGAGUAUAACUCGUGUAGGGUGUAAAGCUAAAUUGGUGAUUGCAAGACAGGAGGAAACAGGUCAGUGGUUUGUCAAGGAUUUCAUCGAUGAACACAACCAUCNNNNNNNNNNACCAGUCAAAAUGUGUGGUGUGGUCCUUCAGGUUCAGGGCAUUAGGUUGUGCGUAAUUCAUGUAUGUUGCCUGCAUGUGUGGCCGAGCUGGUACAGGAGACAGUUACACUAUUCGUACCACCUGAUCGCAUUAUCAAGCUCACAUUACGG
Molecule: long non-coding RNA, 8092 nt
Filed under: Triticum aestivum (bread wheat)
Lineage: Eukaryota; Viridiplantae; Streptophyta; Magnoliopsida; Poales; Poaceae
Description: long non-coding RNA (TAES_LNC003942)
Source: RNAcentral